GAACUCCAAAAGAUGUCGAAAAAACUGAAGUGGCCGAUGAUGUGGGUGCAACUGUCAAUAGAAUUAACCCCAAGGAACAAGAAGAAGCGUUCACCACAAGGGGAUAAUUGAGUUAAGUCAUGUUCAGGGAAUAAUGCGUAAAUUAUAAUGUAACUUGUACAUUGGCAUGUCUUCUUUUAGUUUUUUUCCCAUUGGGGGAAGGAAGACUAAGAAAGAUAUGCCAUUUUGGUCAAU
Molecule: long non-coding RNA, 234 nt
Filed under: Nicotiana benthamiana
Lineage: Eukaryota; Viridiplantae; Streptophyta; Magnoliopsida; Solanales; Solanaceae
Description: long non-coding RNA (NBEN_LNC024058)
Source: RNAcentral